This 221-nucleotide ribosomal RNA is filed under the name uncultured Chlamydiales CRG40. RNAcentral describes it as "partial 16S ribosomal RNA". It matches the Rfam family "Bacterial small subunit ribosomal RNA", at positions 66 to 273 of the family's 1533-position model. The record is from RNAcentral. Lineage: Bacteria; Pseudomonadati; Chlamydiota; Chlamydiia; Chlamydiales.
ACGAAAUGUGCCUUCGGGUGCAUUUAGUGGCGGAAGGGUUAGUAAUACAUGGAUAAUCUGCCUUUAUCUUCGGAAUAACGGUUGGAAACGACCGCUAAUGCCGGAUGUGGUGAUUACAGGCAUCUGAUAAUCAUUAAAGUUAGGGAGCCGGAGACGGUCCUUUCGGAUAAAGAGGAGUCCAUGGGAUAUCAGCUAGUUGGUAGGGUAAAGGCCUACCAAGG